Molecule: non-coding RNA, 523 nt
Organism: Crotalus tigris (Tiger rattlesnake)
Lineage: Eukaryota; Metazoa; Chordata; Lepidosauria; Squamata; Viperidae
Source: the annotation of a RefSeq genome assembly
AUGGUUCUUUGCAUUUUGUUUUACAGCACUUCCAAGAUGGGUCUUCUCGGAGAUUCAGCUUGUAGAAUCUGGGCCAGGAUUGGUGAGACCUGGAAGUCAACUCAACCUAGUUUUGACCUUCUUCAGGCUCAUCUCAAAACUCAUCUCUCUAAACCUCUUCACAAUGGCAAUCCACUUCUUAAUUCUCAUCGUGCUGGUUGCCUUCAUCAAAGAUGGCCUCUCCCAGAUAGUCUUGACCCAGUCAGAUCCAGUGCUGAAGAAACCAGGAGAAUCCCAUAAACUGACUUGCGCUGUCACUGGAUUCAAUGUUAACAGCUAUUACAUGGGUUGGAUCAGACAGAAACCUGGCCAAGGACUGGAAUGGCUUGUUUACUAUUACACAUCUAGUAGCAACUAUUAUUCACCAACAAUCCAAGGACGUUUUACUGCCUCCAAGGACAGUUCUAACUUCUAUCUGCAAAUGAACAAUCUAAAAGCUGAUGACUCGGCUGUCUAUUAUUGUGCAAGAGACACAGUGAAAUAG